GUUCAGUUAUAAUAGUACAAUAACUCGUUAUUCUAGCAGCCUUAGCAGCUCUACCUCGAGGGCAACGCGCUCGCCGGCGGCCUCGAGUUCCUGGAGGCCCUGGUGAUCCGCGACAUGGGGCGGAUCGGGGUUACCGUCCCGAGAACCCUCUCGGGGCUCACGCGCCUCCAGGAGCUCUACCUCGAGGGCAACACACUCGCCGGCGGGGUACCCGGGAAGGUGCUGUCCAGGAUGAGCUCCCUCCGCUACCUCUCGCUCGCCGGCAACCGGCUGGAGGGCACGCUGUCGCCGGAGCUCAGCGACGUUCGCAGUCUAGUCCGAGGAGCUCCUCGUCGCUUUCGUGGCUUAAUGACACGGACAUUCUCUCUUUUGCUUCGCUGUUCAUUUGUGAUGUUGUGCACUGCAGUAGAUAGGAAUCCAGGGGAGAAGUGUAGGAACUGAGCAUCGAGGACGUGACGCCGGAGCGGCUGUCCGGGCUCAUCAGCGGCUACGCCGGCCUCGUCGACAAGGUCCCCUCCAUGAAGGCAUUCCACUGAAGAUGAUUUUGUCCUGUGUCAUGCUUCCAGGAAAAGUUCAAGCUCAUACGAGCCAACGACGAUGCUACUGUGUUGGACGCUCUCUCACUCAGCACCCCCAAGAUCAGACUGCUUCGUAGCUUGACAGUCGAAAAGAAGAAUUCUGUUCAGGACCUCCAGGCCUAAGAAAGUUGAAGUGUGAAGCCUUGAAGACAAUUGUGUGAAGCUCUACUUAUCCAAGAAUGCAUAUUAUAUAUUGUAAUAAUAGACAUAUCUGCUUUGUAACAGAUUGGAAAAAUUGUAAUAUACUACCUUCGUGUUAAUUUGAUGAAUUUCACAUGUUCUUUCUGCUCUA
Molecule: long non-coding RNA, 870 nt
Organism: Hordeum vulgare subsp. vulgare (domesticated barley)
Lineage: Eukaryota; Viridiplantae; Streptophyta; Magnoliopsida; Poales; Poaceae
Exons: 3
Source: RefSeq, a predicted model, not a curated record